UACGGAGGGGGCGAGCGUUAUUCGGAAUUAUUGGGCGUAAAGAGCUCGUAGGCGGUUUGUCGCGUCUGCUGUGAAAAUCCAGGGCUUAACCCUGGACCUGCAGUGGGUACGGGCAGACUAGAGUGCGGUAGGGGAGAUCGGAAUUCCUGGUGUAGCGGUGAAAUGCGCAGAUAUCAGGAGGAACACCGGUGGCGAAGGCGGAUCUCUGGGCCGUAACUGACGCUGAGGAGCGAAAGCAUGGGGAGCGAACAGG
Molecule: ribosomal RNA, 253 nt
Filed under: uncultured bacterium
Lineage: Bacteria
Description: partial 16S ribosomal RNA
Rfam family: Bacterial small subunit ribosomal RNA
Source: RNAcentral